GCCGGGCAUGGUGGCGCAUGCCUGUAGUCCCAGCUACUCGGGAGGCUGAGGCAGGAGAAUCGCUUGAACCCGGGAGGUGGAGGUUGCAGUGAGCCGAGAUCGCGCCACUGCAUUUCAGCCCAGGCGACAGAGCGAGACUCCGUCUCAA
Molecule: non-coding RNA, 148 nt
Organism: Homo sapiens (human)
Lineage: Eukaryota; Metazoa; Chordata; Mammalia; Primates; Hominidae
Rfam family: Metazoan signal recognition particle RNA
About the family: The signal recognition particle (SRP) is a universally conserved ribonucleoprotein. It is involved in the co-translational targeting of proteins to membranes. The eukaryotic SRP consists of a 300-nucleotide 7S RNA and six proteins: SRPs 72, 68, 54, 19, 14, and 9.
Source: Rfam